GAAGAGAUAUGGAUAUAAGUAUCCCUUUGAUCUGAGAUCAUCAUGGUGACUUGCAAGCAACUCACUAUGCUUUGAUGCCAAACUACCUAAAUUUUUAAUUCAGGAUCAGAAGGUUUCUAAGUAUAGUCAAGUACUUAUAAAGUUAGUGCAUGAGUCAAGAUGAAAAUGAUCACUCCAAAAGAUUGGAAGAAUAUUUUGUGUUUCAAUUUAGUAAGAUCUUGGCCAGGACAGUCCUUGUGAGGAGUCAUAGGAUUUAUUAGAUUGAGACACAUAAUGGAUGUACUGUUAAGAGUUGACAGUUUAAACUCUAAGUCAUCCUAGUAUCAAGGAUGAAGGGAUGAAUUAUAUGGUAAUUAACUAUAUUCAAGUAGGUUCUUGAGUGUUGUUUUGCAUACAUUCGGCCUAUCCGGAUGUCAAAUAUCAUUGCUAGAUGGUUACUCCGAUUGGUACAGAAAUCUAUUUCUAUACUAUCAAAUUUGA
Molecule: long non-coding RNA, 480 nt
Filed under: Elaeis guineensis (African oil palm)
Lineage: Eukaryota; Viridiplantae; Streptophyta; Magnoliopsida; Arecales; Arecaceae
Description: long non-coding RNA (EGUI_LNC075304)
Source: RNAcentral